GACCGGUCUGAACGUAGUGGGUUAUCUCGAUUGAUUGUUCAUAGUUAGUUACAGAUCAAACUCCUUGUUCUAUAAUUUCCCCCCUUCUCACUGAUGUACUUGACUAGUCUUAA
Prolemur simus (greater bamboo lemur) is the source of this 113-nucleotide unclassified non-coding RNA. It matches the Rfam family "Y RNA". From Rfam's summary of the family: Y RNAs are components of the Ro ribonucleoprotein particle (Ro RNP), in association with Ro60 and La proteins. Lineage: Eukaryota; Metazoa; Chordata; Mammalia; Primates; Lemuridae. The record is from Ensembl.